GCGAUUUUCUGAGCGUCAAGCUGAGGCUGUGACGGAAUGCAAAAGUGCGUUGGUCUGUCUCUCUGUCUGCUUUUCGUGAAUCGUAGGCGUUGGCCCACAGCAAUAAGCCGACCGUCUCCACUCCACCUUCCUAUCACACGUACCGCCACCUUGUCAAGUCGGAGAACAGACAGACCACAUUCUUGGCCUUUGUCAGUCCAAAUUGCUAAUACAACACAACCUUAAAUGGUGCAGUUACAUUACAGCGGUUUGCCAGGACAGUCGUGCUUUUCACAAUACAGGGAAACAGAAGGAGAUGCAGGCAGAAAUAGAGAUGAAGAGCAGAACAACAGGCAUGUGGCUGAGCGACGUGGUUAGAAAAGUCCAGAACAGGGAUCGGUGGAGGGAGUCAGUUUUCUGCUAAGUCUUUUAACUCUUACAAUAUGGCGCGCCAAAUCAGCUGUCGCGCAAAAAAUCUUUCGAUUGUUUACCGACAUAACAUGAAACCUCAGUAAAUCUAUCUUAUAAUCCA
Aplysia californica (California sea hare) is the source of this 511-nucleotide long non-coding RNA. RefSeq lists it as uncharacterized. The record is from RefSeq and is a predicted model, not a curated record. NCBI's taxonomy places the organism in Eukaryota, Metazoa, Mollusca, Gastropoda, Aplysiida, Aplysiidae. The transcript has 2 exons.